Molecule: ribosomal RNA, 494 nt
Filed under: uncultured bacterium
Lineage: Bacteria
Description: partial 16S ribosomal RNA
Rfam family: Bacterial small subunit ribosomal RNA
Source: RNAcentral
GACGAACGCUGGCGGCGUGCUUAACACAUGCAAGUCGAACGGUGAAGCGCCUUCCUUUUUGGUGGGUGUGGAUGAGUGGCGAACGGGUGAGUAACACGUGAGUAACCUGCCCCCUUCUUCUGGAUAACCGCAUGAAAGUGUGGCUAAUACGGGAUAUUCUGGGUCUGUCGCAUGAUGGGUCUGGGAAAGAUAUUGUUUCGGUGGGGGAUGGGCUCGCGGCCUAUCAGCUUGUUGGUGGGGUGAUGGCCUACCAAGGCGGUGACGGGUAGCCGGCCUGAGAGGGUGGACGGUCACACUGGGACGGAGACACGGCCCAGACUCGUACGGGAGGCAGCAGUGGGGAAUAUUGCACAAUGGGCGCAAGCCUGAUGCAGCGACGCCGCGUGAGGGAUGGAGGCCUUCGGGUUGUGAACCUCUUUCGCCAGUGAAGCAGGACUGCCUCGUUUGUGGGUGGGUUGACGGUAGCUGGAUAAGAAGCGCCGGCUAACUACGUG